CCCCGCUCCGCGGCACCCCCGCGCCGCUCGCCCCGAGCGGGCCGGGCCGGGCCGGGCCCGGGGCUCGGAGCUCCCGGUGUGGCGGUAAAGGUGCUGCCACACAGCACGGCCACGCCGGAAUGACACCUGAUCAGGUGCUGGAUAAUAUCUUGGCAGCAGCUAAGGUGAUUGCUUUGGUAGCUGAAAUUAAUGGGGCUGCUGCUACCCGUGAGCUUGAGAUAAAAGUAGAAGUAGUCCAAGAACCUGGUGAUCAUUAUGAUGGAGAAAUUCCACAACUGGUGCCUAUGCAAAGAAGGGGCCUUGCUGAGCUGAAGAAAACGGAACAAAGUCAAGAAGAAGGUGACAUCCUGUGUGAGAAAACCAGCCUUUCCCUUGGUGAGAGAAAGAAACAACCUCUGGAAAGUCCAAAUUCAAAACUUAAAGUUACCGGAGAAUGUGACUCUCAGACUCAUAGACAUCACCAAAACAGAAAAAAACUCCAUCUCUGGCAGCAGUGCUCCUGUGGCACCUCAAAGCAGAUCAGCACCUACACCACGGGCCUGGGGAAAAGCACUUGUGACUGUUCAGCUCCAGGCAUUGCAGGCUCAAAGGAUCUUUAGGUCUUAGCACUUCUUGCUCUUCAGACGCUGAUAAGUCUUGUAAUGUAUAAAUAAACAUACUGAUUUUAAAGAUCGUCCCUAAACAGCAAGCCCACAAAUCUUUCACUAAAAUAUAUAUAUAAGGAAAGUGGGAUUAUCUAAAGCAAAGUCUUCAUUCAGCUUAUAUUGGAACAUUACCUGUUUGUGCACUUGCAAUAAAACUGUUUCAUAGUUCCAUAGUUUCACAGAUGGUGGUGACAGUAGCAAUUUUGGUUUUUAAUCUAAUAAUUUAGGACGUAGCAGUCACAGACAAGAAAGUGAGCAUGGAAUUUUAAAUAGUCCAUUCAGUACUUCACUGUCUCCAUCUACAAAGGAUCUUUUGCAAAAUGUCUUGACAGCUCUGUGGAGUAAUUGCUGUACUCAAGUGCUUCCUAAUGGAUUUUUGCUGCUAAUCAGAACAUCAGAAGACCACUUAGUCCUUCUGACAGAGCCUCCUUUUAUCCAUCUCUUUAACCUUUUAAAAUGAGAGCUCUGGCUGCAUCAUUUGUUUAGAUUUUGCAGAGGCUCUCUUAACAAUGCUUCGUCUUUUGCAAGUCCGCGGUAGCACGGGAGCUGAGUAGCAUACUCUGGCGAAGACCUUCAGCAAUCUCUCUGUAAUUUAAUGGCACGGAAUCAUGGUGAUGAAAUCCUGUAAAACUCUGCUUCCAUGUUCAGAGCUGUUCCUGAAUAGCUCUGAAGUGCUAUAACUGCACCCAUCCACCAAAGGCAAUUUUCCCACUGGCUAUGACCUGACACAGCAAAUGCGAUGACAUCUUUUGCAAGCUGCAGUAUCUGUCUCAGAAUCUUUGGUUGGCAAGCAACAGCUGGAGGGAGAUAAAUUUUGUUCACCAGGAGAGGGCUCUCACAGUCUUCUGUUAUUACUGAGCUUGGGAGCAGAAACACCAGAAGGUGAAGCUACAGAAAAAGUCAUGCAAGACCUGUUCAAAUCAGGUUAUGUCCACCAGUGUGCUGUAGAUACUGUAAAUGUUAAUCUUAAAUAAAUAAGGCCAAUUAUACUUAAAUGCAUUUUUUUAACAAAAGGUGAAAAAUAAGGAUGCUCUUGAAGCUUAGCUGUAUUUCUUCCUUAGUAAGGCUGCUGUUAAACAGCGCUAAAAUACUACAGAAUCCAACUUUCUGUACAGCACCACCAACAUGUAGAUUAACACUGCUGUUGGCUUUGCCAAGGAAAUCCCACAGAUGUGUGAAGACUCUUCCUUUUGGGGUGCUUAGUGUGGUUUAAACACUGUUAUGAAAAUAGAAGUUAAUGUUUCAGAGAGGAAACAGGUUUUUUUCAUAUUGUUUAUUACUUUUUUGCCAUCCUUCAAAUAACAUUAUGUAUCAUGAAGAAUAAAUUUAUAAAGUGAUACAGACAUAGAAUCAGCCUGACUGUGAAUCCUCUUACUAUACCUCUUAUUUGUUAAAAAUGAAUGUAUAAAAUCUUUAUACAAAUGCUAUUGCAUAAACAGAGUAACAGAUGCUGUCUUUAUUUCUGCUGUAAACAAUCAACAGCAAGGUUAUUUGCAUUUCUAGCAAUAGUUGAAUGAACUCUGCUUUUUAGUUCUUGUUUACCAUUAUAAAUUAUGGGUUUACUGUAAGCGUUAUCUCAUGAAAUCCAUGCAAGGAAAGGAGAUAUCAGUUUGCUAUAGUGCUUGAAGUAAGUAUUAUAACCAAAGAAAAUAAAUCAUUAUCA
This is a long non-coding RNA of Vidua chalybeata, 2307 nucleotides long. RefSeq lists it as uncharacterized. The record is from RefSeq and is a predicted model, not a curated record. The transcript is spliced from 5 exons. NCBI's taxonomy places the organism in Eukaryota, Metazoa, Chordata, Aves, Passeriformes, Viduidae.